This 329-nucleotide long non-coding RNA is filed under the name Brachypodium distachyon (stiff brome). Its description in RNAcentral is "long non-coding RNA (BDIS_LNC002657)". Lineage: Eukaryota; Viridiplantae; Streptophyta; Magnoliopsida; Poales; Poaceae. The record is from RNAcentral.
ACAUGUCCCAACAUUACAUCGUUACAUCAGCGGAAGUCGAAUUAUGCCCGAGUACAGACAAGAAUACAGCAUGGCCUGAAGAGGCUGGAAGCUAGAACGAAACCGCCACGAGUCUCAGAACCCUGAUCUGGAUCUCCUGGCUAAACAUCGAAUCCAACGUCGUGCUCCACGAAGAAGCUAGCGGCUCACCUGCUCUGCUGGAACCUCUGAAAAAAACAACGUUGUAAAGCAACUGAGUACAAAGUACUCGCAAGACUUACGGGGAGAACUAAACUAAAUAUGCAACAAGUCUCAAAGGAUGGAUAAAUAUGGUGGGGUUAUGCAGCAGC